GUUGAAUCCUCCCCAUCUAGGGGUUGCAUAUGUAACAGUGGGGGAUAAUGGUUGGUUGGCUGGUUGCCUGGCAAUAGUUAAUGUGAACUCCUGAGGUCUGGAUGGCAACUCUUCAAAAUCCCAUAUUCCAUACUUUAUUAUUUCGUUUCCCCCAUCUUUGAACUUCUAGUGAGUUAGAUAACUUAAACUUCUGCAGAUCCGAACUGAUCGACAUGUUUGACGGCAAGGGGUCGGUGGGUUUUGUUGAGCUUAAACGGACCACAGGCAGGCAGGUCUGGCUUCAGCGCCAAAAGAAAUGAGAAGGGAAGGGAGAAAAUAGCGUUGAUUUGAAUCUGUGCUCAAUUGAACUCAAUAAAGGAGAGAACAAGAGUAGCUGGGGGA
Molecule: small RNA, 381 nt
Filed under: Histoplasma ohiense
Lineage: Eukaryota; Fungi; Ascomycota; Eurotiomycetes; Onygenales; Ajellomycetaceae
Description: hypothetical lncRNA
Source: RNAcentral